UUUGUCUAACAGAAGUGCCAGAGCUUGCAAAGCUCAGAUCCCACCACCACAAGGGACUUACAUCCAGGAGGCGCCAGGCCCCGGCAUUUUUCUGCUGCUGACACCAAGCUCAGCUUUUAAAGCUGCCUUCACUGACAGCCUUGGGCUUGAUCCUUGCAGCCUGUGGUAUUUAGGAGGACAGGGUAUACAAUCCACCAGCUUCUUUCUGUCUUUAAUUUCUAGGAAACUAUUAUAGAGCCUUCCAAAAAGGCUCACGUCUGCCUGCCAGCACCACAUUAGCAUGACUACUGCUUUGAAACACGGUAACUACAGCAGCUCAGUAUCUGUAAUGCAUCCCCUGCUGUACUGUGUAGCUUUGCACACGCCUAUGUGCCAUUAAUGAAUCAUCACGUGGGAAGUGUUUUCAUUAUCCCUUGCCUUUCUAGCACUGGGGUUUCUUGGCAAAUGUGCAGCCCAGGCCACAGCAGCUGUCUGUCUCACUCUCCUUCAUUUAGAUUAAAAAUGUUUUUUGUUGUUGUUGUUUUGAAGUGCCCAUUGAAGUGACAGGAUGGAGAAGGAUGGCUAAGUCCAAGUCCGAAUAUCUUUAUUUCAAGACUACGCUAAUAGCCUCUAAGAAUUUUUCUCUGCUGCACUUCAGAUAAGAGUGGUCAAACAUGAAUGAUAGUCGUUCGGGACAAGGGUCAUUUCAGAGCAGCCAGCGUCAGACCCAACCGAGUGAAGCCAGGAGGGACUUUAAAAUGUAAUUCAGCCAGAAGAACAGGACACGGAUCAGCAAACAAAACUCAUUAUUAUUACACCAAAACAAGCAAGGGUUGCAUGGCUUGAUUUCUGCAGUCUGUGUUUAGGCUCCAAGAUGUUGUCCCACACUUUGGAAAUUAGCCAGUAAAAGAAGGACAGAAAAUUAAUACUAAAAAAGGAAGCACUGACCCAAACAGUUUUGUUGCAUGUAUUCUGCUCUCCAGAACACUUUGAAGUCUGAAGAGAAACUUGACCGAGUCAGUUAAGAGUGCCUCCAGGUCCGUAAUUUGCGCAACCAGCAUUCAUUUUGCUGAUCGUCAUCAUUGACCCUAGAAGAAUUAUAAAGGUCAUAUUUUCUUGCAGAUAAUGUAAGUGUUGAGCAAUUUCAAAAAAUGGGAUAAACAUAAACACAUUACUAAAAAGCAAAGUUUUG
This 1171-nucleotide long non-coding RNA is filed under the name Numida meleagris (helmeted guineafowl). RNAcentral's name for it is "lncRNA (ENSNMEG00000011532.1)". The record is from RNAcentral. Lineage: Eukaryota; Metazoa; Chordata; Aves; Galliformes; Numididae.